RNAcentral lists this ribosomal RNA (429 nucleotides) under Verrucomicrobiota bacterium. RNAcentral's name for it is "Verrucomicrobia bacterium partial 16S ribosomal RNA". It matches the Rfam family "Bacterial small subunit ribosomal RNA", at positions 355 to 776 of the family's 1533-position model. The record is from RNAcentral. Lineage: Bacteria; Pseudomonadati; Verrucomicrobiota.
UAGGGAAUCUUCCGCAAUGGACGAAAGUCUGACGGAGCAACGCCGCGUGAGUGAAGAAGGAUUUCGGUUCGUAAAACUCUGUUGUUAGGGAAGAAAAAAUGUAUAGUAACUAUAUACAAAAGAGACGGUACCUAACCAGAAAGCCACGGCUAACUACGUGCCAGCAGCCGCGGUAAUACGUAGGUGGCAAGCGUUGUCCGGAAUUUUUGGGCGUAAAGCGCGCGCAGGUGGUUUAGAAAGUCUGAUGUGAAAGCCCACGGCUCAACCGUGGAGGGUCAUUGGAAACUAAUAAACUUGAGUGCAGGAGAGAAAAGUGGAAUUCCUAGUGUAGCGGUGAAAUGCGUAGAUAUUAAAAAGAAUACCGGUGGCGAAGGCGACUUACUGGGCUCAUUCUGACGCUGAGGAACGAAAGCGUGGGUAGCAAACAGG